Molecule: ribosomal RNA, 520 nt
Filed under: Salmonella enterica subsp. enterica serovar Infantis
Lineage: Bacteria; Pseudomonadati; Pseudomonadota; Gammaproteobacteria; Enterobacterales; Enterobacteriaceae
Also listed under: 3 other names
Description: partial 23S ribosomal RNA
Rfam family: Bacterial large subunit ribosomal RNA
Source: RNAcentral
AGACCCGAAACCCGGUGAUCUAGCCAUGGGCAGGUUGAAGGUUGGGUAACACUAACUGGAGGACCGAACCGACUAAUGUUGAAAAAUUAGCGGAUGACCUGUGGCUGGGGGUGAAAGGCCAAUCAAACCGGGAGAUAGCUGGUUCUCCCCGAAAGCUAUUUAGGUAGCGCCUCGUGAAUUCAUCUCCGGGGGUAGAGCACUGUUUCGGCUAGGGGGCCAUCCCGGCUUACCAACCCGAUGCAAACUGCGAAUACCGGAGAAUGUUAUCACGGGAGACACACGGCGGGUGCUAACGUCCGUCGUGAAGAGGGAAACAACCCAGACCGCCAGCUAAGGUCCCAAAGUCAUGGUUAAGUGGGAAACGAUGUGGGAAGGCCCAGACAGCCAGGAUGUUGGCUUAGAAGCAGCCAUCAUUUAAAGAAAGCGUAAUAGCUCACUGGUCGAGUCGGCCUGCGCGGAAGAUGUAACGGGGCUAAACCAUGCACCGAAGCUGCGGCAGCGAACGUAUCACUUAAAGCGA